CACACUAAGAAAGACGGGACCUGGAUGGUGUGUUGGUAGUUGUGCAAUCAACAAGAUCAUCGCCAAGUAUAGAUUUUCCAUACUUCAUCUUGGUGAUAUGUUAAAUUUUAUGGCAGGAUUCACGCACUCUUUGAACAUAUAUUUGAAGAGCAGUGUUAGAAGCCUUAGACAUGACUCUGAUAUGUGAAAAAGUAAUGAAGCAGAAGAAGAAGAAGAUAGAGAAGAGGAAGAAGGUUGAAGAGAGGCAAACAAAGGUAUUUUAUGGAUUCUUUAUUUCGAUGAUUACAGAAAAACAAAAAUUAGUAUUUUAUAGGCUUAAAAGCAAUAAAGGAGACGUAUUCAACGUCUAGAAUCAUGCUUGCCGGUAUCGCGCAAUGAGCUUGAGGUCGGCUAGCGGCCGAAGCUCACGAAAACAAGGGCAUCCUGCGUCUGUCCUAACUAGCUCUAUCCUUUUACCAAUUUGCCUUUAAGGUGAAUUUCUUAUUUUACUCCUUUUAUUACACUCUAAAUGGUUUCUUGGCAAUACUCUCCCCUUGAGCAUCAACCUUGUCCGCAAGGUUGAAUUAUAGAAAUUUUUUCUUCAAGAGUCUUUUCAAUUUCCUCCUUGACCAUUAUUAUUUUAUUUGCACAAUGAUAUUAUAGGAAAUAGCUAUCUCCACAUUUGUAACAGGCUGCUGAUCUUCUAGGUUAUGCUCCAUUUCCUAUGUUCCUGAGGGUCUAUCAUUAUAUCGAUCUUUUUCUGAUAAGAGAGCAUCAUUGCUGGGAAGAUAGGGAUUCAAAGACAACUCUAUUACUAAUUGUUCCUACAGUACGACAUGUUCGGAUACUUGAUUAAACGUUUGUGGCUUGAGGAGUCUUAUCGUGAGUUGUAACUGCGACUUGAGGCCAUUGGUAAAGGUAGAUAUGAAAAACCUUUAUGGAAGUGUUGGUUUAUUUGCAUUCAUUAGAUAAUGUAAAUAUUCAAAUUGUUCUACAUACUCAAGAACGGUACUUGUUUGGUGUAGUUUGGUAAACUUCUCUAUGAAGUCUUUCUGUGAGGGUCAUUCGAAUCGUCGGUAGAGCUCUUCCACAAAAUAUUCCCAAUCUAGGGUAUCAACUUUGGCUAGCUACCCAUAGUACCAUAUAUUGAUGAGUUCUCCUAAAUAUAGCGACGCAAUCUCCACCUUCUAUUCAUCAAGAGUAUUAGGAUUAUAAAAUAUUUUUCACAUUUUCGAAUCCACUUGUUGGGGUUUACCCCUUCAAAAAGAGGAAUUUCUACUUUCGGAAGUGCGAAAUUGUGGGUCAAACCUCAUUGUUGUGGGUGGUCCAAUACGGUCCAAAGGCUCCAUCGGACUAGUUCGGUUCAAACUGGUUCAGAUGGGUUCGAAUUGGUCUGUUUCUUCAAUUGGUUCGGUGCGAUUUUCUCAGUAGAAUCGGGUAUAAAAAACCUUAACUUGAUUCUACCCCCUUAUGUAGGCAUGCCGUUCGAGAGAGGCAGGACACCCCUGCUUUCGUAAGCUUGGUCGAGGCACGCUGAGCUUCCUUUGGCCUGGCCGACGGAAUUUCUGUGGAGCAGAUCCAAGAUCUAGGUGAGUUGUUGAUGCAUGACGGAAUUUGUUCAUUUCGUCCAUGAAUGCGGAGAGUUUCCGGUCAACCUCCUUCAUUGUGAUCGUUUUAGGGCUCUCUAGUUUGACGAUUGCGACCUUCCCUUUGGACUGAGUUUGUGUGGCAACACCAGCGUAGGAUUCGGCCGGUUCGGGCUCUGAUCCUACCUAAAACCUUAGACAUGAUUUUGAUAUGUGAAAAAGUAAGGAAGAAGAAGAUGAAGAAGAUAGAGAAGACGAAUAAGGUUGAAGAGAGGCAAAUAGAGGUAUUUUAUUGAUUCUUUAUUUCGAUGAUUACAGAACAACGAAGAUGGGUCUUUUAUAGGCUUAAAAGCAAUAAAGAAAAUGUCUUCAAUGGUUGGAAUCAUGCUUGCCGGAAUCGUGCGAUGAGCUUGAUGUCGGCUGCGGGAUGAAAUGAUGAUACUAGGGUGUCAACUGCAGGAUGAACUGAUGAGCUAGUUAGAGUUUGUCAACCCUAACCCUAAUUGGCGCUAUCCUUUUACCAAUUUGCCCUUAAGUGAAUUUCUUAGUUUACCUAUAUUUUUAUUACACCCUAAAUGGUUUCCUGGCAAGUGAAUAUCACUAAAUCCGCGUAAGACCAAGAGAUGGAUGGAAAACAACAUCUAAAACUAAAUAUGGUUUAUAUGAGUGGUUAGUCAUACCAUAUGAACUGUCUAAUGCCCCAAGUACCUUCAUGAAUCAAGUUUUCUAAGCUUUUAAUGAGAAAUUUCUUCCUGUCUAUUUUGAUAAUAUUCUUAUCUUUUUAAAAUGAAAGUAAAUCAAGGUAUUAAAGAAGAAAUAAAUCAGGAUGUUAAAGAGAAAGUAAAUCAGAAUAUUGAAAAGGAAAUAAAUCAAGGUAUUGAAGGGGAAGAAAAUCAGGAUAUAAUCAAUUACAUAUCUGUAAUUAAUUGUGAUUAAUUGUUUAUUUCAUUUUCUAUCCUAGAAAACCUGUAUAUAUAGGGGUAUAAUAUUUAACAAAAUACAUCAAUAAAAAAAAUCAUUUUUAACAUAUUAUCAAUACUUUAGGUUAAUAAGUUCUUAAACUCUUUCACAAACUCGAUUAAGCUUUCAUUGUCGAAAUAGAAAAGCUUGAAAGGGGUCAAUCUUAAUAGUUGGCCACCACUCUCUUGUCGCCAAACAUCACCAACCAACCUUUAUAGUCGGCCCUAGAACCAACCGUUGCUCCCUGCAGUCGCUAGUCUCCAACAGUCCACAAGCACGCACUGACAUGCGCAGCUCUCUUUGUUGCCUCCAUCGCGA
Non-coding RNA from Carica papaya (papaya), 2843 nucleotides. Lineage: Eukaryota; Viridiplantae; Streptophyta; Magnoliopsida; Brassicales; Caricaceae. The record is from RefSeq and is a predicted model, not a curated record.